CCUACGGGCGGCAGCAGUGGGGAAUAUUGGACAAUGGGCGAAAGCCUGAUCCAGCCAUGCCGCGUGUGUGAAGAAGGCCUUCGGGUUGUAAAGCACUUUCAGUGGGGAAGAAAGCCUUGGGGCUAAUACCCUCGAGGAAGGACAUCACCCACAGAAGAAGCACCGGCUAACUCCGUGCCAGCAGCCGCGGUAAUACGGAGGGUGCGAGCGUUAAUCGGAAUUACUGGGCGUAAAGCGCGCGUAGGCGGUCUGAUAAGCCGGUUGUGAAAGCCCCGGGCUCAACCUGGGAACGGCAUCCGGAACUGUCAGGCUAGAGUGCAGGAGAGGAAGGUAGAAUUCCCGGUGUAGCGGUGAAAUGCGUAGAGAUCGGGAGGAAUACCAGUGGCGAAGGCGGCCCUCUGGACUGACACUGACGCUGAGGUGCGAAAGCGUGGGUAGCAAACAGGAUUAGAUACCCCGGUAGUC
RNAcentral lists this ribosomal RNA (465 nucleotides) under Vreelandella stevensii. Its description in RNAcentral is "partial 16S ribosomal RNA". It matches the Rfam family "Bacterial small subunit ribosomal RNA", at positions 338 to 795 of the family's 1533-position model. Lineage: Bacteria; Pseudomonadati; Pseudomonadota; Gammaproteobacteria; Oceanospirillales; Halomonadaceae. The record is from RNAcentral.